GAUGAACGCUGGCGGCGUGCCUAAUACAUGCAAGUCGAACGAAAAGACGAGGUCCUUCCUCCUCUGACGUUAGCCGCGGACGGGUGAGUUACACGUGGAUAACUUACGUAUAAGACUGGGGUCACUUCCGGCAACUAGUGCUACUACCGACUAAUACAUUAAACCGCUUGGUUCAAUAGUGAAAGCCGGCUUUGCUGUCACCAACUGAUUGAUUAGCGCCGCAUUAGCUAGUUGGUAAGGUAACGGCUUACCAAGUCGACGAUGCGUAGCCGACCUGAGAGGAUGAUCAGCCACACGGGAACUGAGACACGGUCCAGACUCCUACGGGAGGCAGCAGUAGGGAAUCUUCGGCAAUGGGCGAAAGCCUGAUGGAGCAACGCCGCGUGAGUGAUGAAGGUCUUCGGAUCGUAAACCACUGUUAUCAGGGAAGAACAAAUUUGUAAGAAUCUGGGCGCGUCUUGACGGUACCUAAAGAGAAAGCAACGGCUAACUACGUG
Molecule: ribosomal RNA, 497 nt
Filed under: uncultured bacterium
Lineage: Bacteria
Description: partial 16S ribosomal RNA
Rfam family: Bacterial small subunit ribosomal RNA
Source: RNAcentral